CGGGAGGCAGCAGUUAGGAAUCUUCCACAAUGGGCGCAAGCCUGAUGGAGCGACACUGCAUGAAGGAUGAAGGUUUUAGGAUCGUAAACUUCUGAACUAGGGACGAUAAUGACGGUACCUAGGUAAUAGCACCGGCUAACUCCGUGCCAGCAGCCGCGGUAAUACGGAGGGUGCAAGCGUUAUCCGGAAUCACUGGGCGUAAAGGGCACGUAGGCGGUCUAUUAAGUCCGAUGUUAAAGCGUGGGGCUCAACCCCAUCACGGCGUUGGAUACUGAUAGGCUUGACGACUGGAGAGGUGAGUAGAAUUACCAGUGUAGCGGUGGAAUGCGUAGAUACUGGUAGGAAUACCCAUUGCGAAGGCAGCUCACUGGACAGUACGUGACGCUGAGGUGCGAAAGUGUGUGGAGCAAACCGGAUUAGAUACCCGGGUAGUCCACACCCUAAAC
This 446-nucleotide ribosomal RNA is filed under the name uncultured bacterium. RNAcentral's name for it is "bacterial SSU rRNA". It matches the Rfam family "Bacterial small subunit ribosomal RNA", at positions 342 to 807 of the family's 1533-position model. The record is from RNAcentral.